This 324-nucleotide ribosomal RNA is filed under the name Allapsidae sp. Its description in RNAcentral is "SSU rRNA". The stretch from base 114 to 324 matches the Rfam family "Eukaryotic small subunit ribosomal RNA", at positions 743 to 955 of the family's 1831-position model. The record is from RNAcentral. Lineage: Eukaryota; Cercozoa; Glissomonadida; Viridiraptoridae.
GAUUUCUGGUUUGAUGUGCCUGUCCCGCCACGGUAACGUGUGUGAGUGACGGUGUAUGUCUGCCAUCCUUCUAGAUUCGGCAGGCUACUCUUAACUGAGCUGGUCUGUCUGUUCUAGAUCUUUUACUUUGAAAAAAUUAGAGUGUUUCAAGCAGGCUUAUGCUAUGAAUACAUUAGCAUGGAAUAAUGAGUUAGGACUUCGGUUCUAUUUUGUUGGUUUCUAGGACUGAAGUAAUGAUUGAUAGGGAUAGUUGGGGGUGCUAGUAUUCAGCGGCCAGAGGUGAAAUUCUCGGAUUCGCUGAAGACUAACUUAUGCGAAAGCAUU